AUCUUUGGCUGUACCACCCUGAAUGCACCCAAUCUUGUCUGAUCCUGGAAGCUAAGCAGGGUUGAGCCUGGUUAGUACUUGGAAGGGAGACUGCCUUGGAACACUGGGUGCUGUAAGCUU
Vicugna pacos (alpaca) is the source of this 120-nucleotide ribosomal RNA. NCBI's taxonomy places the organism in Eukaryota, Metazoa, Chordata, Mammalia, Artiodactyla, Camelidae. The record is from Ensembl.